RNAcentral lists this ribosomal RNA (492 nucleotides) under uncultured bacterium. Its description in RNAcentral is "partial 16S ribosomal RNA". It matches the Rfam family "Bacterial small subunit ribosomal RNA", at positions 29 to 507 of the family's 1533-position model. The record is from RNAcentral.
AGUGAACGCUGGCGGUGGGCCUAACACAUGCAAGUCGAACGGCAGCACAGUAAGAGCUUGCUCUUACGGGUGGCGAGUGGCGGACGGGUGAGGAAUACAUCGGAAUCUACUUUUUCGUGGGGGAUAACGUAGGGAAACUUACGCUAAUACCGCAUACGACCUACGGGUUAAAGCAGGGGAUCUUCGGACCUUGCGCGAUUGAAUGAGCCGAUGUCGGAUUAGCUAGUUGGCGGGGUAAAGGCCCACCAAGGCGACGAUCCGUAGCUGGUCUGAGAGGAUGAUCAGCCACACUGGAACUGAGACACGGUCCAGACUCCUACGGGAGGCAGCAGUGGGGAAUAUUGGACAAUGGGCGCAAGCCUGAUCCAGCCAUACCGCGUGGGUGAAGAAGGCCUUCGGGUUGUAAAGCCCUUUUGUUGGGAAAGAAAAGCAGCGGGUUAAUACCCCGCUGUUCUGACGGUACCCAAAGAAUAAGCACCGGCUAACUUCGUG